CACGUUUUGAGAAAUGUCUCACCAAACACAUUUUCAUUUUCAAAACUGAAAUUACAAGCAUAAAAACACCACCUUAAAAACUUCAAAAGAACAACCCAAAUAUUAUUGAAUUGCAGAUUACCCAAAUACAAGAUAGUGAAGAUACCCAUCCAAAAUUAACCCAAAAUCAGAGUGUGGGAGUCAUGCAGAGAUAGAAUAAAAAAUUUGGAUGGGUUCUCAUGCUUUCCAAUUUUUUUUUCUUUCUUAUCUGUUAAAUAUGCUUUGCAGAUUUGAAGGAAGAAAUAAGUGCAGGUUGAUUAUAUAAAGGGGAGAACAAAUGGCUGCUUUUUGACAGGCUUAGUUUGUCUUAUUGUGGGUUACAACUUUUCAGUGCCCUUAAAUAUGCUUUGCAGAUUUGAAGGAAGAAAAGUGCAGGUUGAUUAUAUAAAGGGGAGAACAAAUGGCUGCUUUUUGACAGGUUUAGUUUGUCUUACUGUGGGUACAACUUUUCAAGGCCCUUAGAUAAGGUGAGGAAAGGAGGUUGAGAAAAUGAACCGGUGCUACCCAGUACCAGUAAAGUUUAGCACUACUUCAAAGCAAACACAGUUCAAUGAAUAUAAUACCUCUUGUCUAGCACAGUGCCGGUUAAUCCCAGAAAUCAAACGGGCCCAAACAGAAAAUGGGUAACUGUUGAGCCAAUGUUUCGGUAAUGUGCACAUUAUUUUAUUAUUUAUUAUGAUGAUCAAUGAAAGCAACACAAAAGAUAGACUUGAUAUUGGAUCAAAUACCUUAAGUUCUCGUUAUAUUGACAAAGUUUUCCAUCUGAUGGUACGUGUAAAUGUAUAUCGAUCAAAACAAAAAAACUAAAAGAAACAGAAAACAAA
RNAcentral lists this long non-coding RNA (863 nucleotides) under Fragaria vesca (wild strawberry). RNAcentral's name for it is "long non-coding RNA (FVES_LNC005500)". Lineage: Eukaryota; Viridiplantae; Streptophyta; Magnoliopsida; Rosales; Rosaceae. The record is from RNAcentral.